Rhinichthys klamathensis goyatoka is the source of this 175-nucleotide long non-coding RNA. RefSeq lists it as uncharacterized. The transcript has 2 exons. The record is from RefSeq and is a predicted model, not a curated record. NCBI's taxonomy places the organism in Eukaryota, Metazoa, Chordata, Actinopteri, Cypriniformes, Leuciscidae.
CAAUAGAGUGCCGAAGUUACGACGUCACUCUGUAGGCCAAAACGCGGAAGUGAGUUAGCAUUUUAGCACUCCCGGUUCCCUCGCUCUAAAGUCUAUGGGAUUUUUGAAUGGGUUUUUGCUAAAUCGCCUGAAAUAAGGUCUUUUUUUAAACUUUAUUGUGUCUGCUUGUGUUUUU